Populus euphratica (Euphrates poplar) is the source of this 632-nucleotide long non-coding RNA. RefSeq lists it as uncharacterized. Lineage: Eukaryota; Viridiplantae; Streptophyta; Magnoliopsida; Malpighiales; Salicaceae. The transcript has 2 exons. The record is from RefSeq and is a predicted model, not a curated record.
UUGCUUUUCCGAUGACUCUGCUAGAAUUAACAAUAGUCUAGCUCACAACUCCGAGGAGCCCAACUGUUUUCUUGGACAUUGAUUGACUGGUGUCUAUUCAUUAUCCUACCUGUAAAAGAGCUAACCAUCUCAGUUUUCUAGUUUUACAUUUCUGAAGAACAACUAUUAUUUUGACAGCGAGAUUACUAUCGAUUACAAAGUCUAUAAAUACACCAACCUGCUUGCAAAGCAGGUGAGGGCUUGGGAUUCGAGUCUUGUCCUUGCCGUCUGAUGAAUAUAAAGAAGCGGUUAGAAGAUGAGAGGAACGAUGUCAACAACUAUUGGUUGGUUUUGCUACCAAGUUACUAGGAGGGUUUUGGUUCACGGGACAUGCUGAAAGGCUUUUAAUGAUCAUACAUGAAAUAAUUAAGGACUAUUGACAAGAAUAUUUUGAGUUUCAGAGAUUAUUUAGAAUUUUAUAAUAAAUAGGGAUUUGUUACAAGAAUUUUUAUAAGAGUAAUUCAAGGUGAAUCUACAUGUUAUUAUUCAUGUGUGAAGAUUUUAGCUUCAUCACAAUCCAUUCAGAAAAGUAAGUGAUUUAUGAGGUCUUUUUAGAUGUUAAUGGGGAUAAUGGCAGGUGCCAACCAUGGUUC